RNAcentral lists this ribosomal RNA (441 nucleotides) under Auriculastra duplicata. RNAcentral's name for it is "partial 16S ribosomal RNA". It matches the Rfam family "Bacterial large subunit ribosomal RNA", at positions 1832 to 2596 of the family's 2925-position model. The record is from RNAcentral. Lineage: Eukaryota; Metazoa; Mollusca; Gastropoda; Ellobiida; Ellobiidae.
AGCCUUGGGAAUUAAUCCAAGGUAAGUCCUGCCCGGUGAUAAAUUUUAACGGCCGCAGUACCCUGACUGUGCUAAGGUAGCGUAAUCAGUUGACUUUUAAAUGGAGUCGAGAAUGAAUGGGUCUUUGGGGAGAAGCUGUCUCAACUUUACUAGUUUGAAUUUGUUUAUAGGGUGAAAAUACCCUAGAGUAGAAAAAAGACGAGAAGACCCUUAGAGUCUUUAUAAUUAAGUUUAGUAGUUGCUAAUUUAUUUUUGUUGGGGCGACAACGAGGCAAAUUUAACCCUCGGUAUUUAUUAUGUACAGGACGAUCUUAAUAAGUAAGACAAGACUACCUUAGGGAUAACAGCAUAAUGUUUUUUUAAGCUUGUGACCUCGAUGUUGGACUAGGAACCUUAGGACUAGCCGUCAUAAGGGAAGGUUCUGUUCGAACUUUUACUCCU